RNAcentral lists this unclassified non-coding RNA (223 nucleotides) under Hevea brasiliensis (rubber tree). The record is from RNAcentral. Lineage: Eukaryota; Viridiplantae; Streptophyta; Magnoliopsida; Malpighiales; Euphorbiaceae.
CUUCCUUUUAUUAUUAGAGGAAUCGUUCCCCACCACUCCAUAGAAACAUACAGUAUCCUCUCCGAGCCUAUGCUGCUUCUAACAGUAGACCUCCCAUUAAUGAUGAAUUCAAUAUACGAAUGCAGAUUUUAGUGCACGUUUCCAUGGAAGGCCAUCCUGAUUCAGCAUUCAUCCCAUGAUUUUGUGAAGGAACAACAACGCUAAUAUGAAUAGAGAAAAUUCA